Molecule: long non-coding RNA, 378 nt
Organism: Pantherophis guttatus
Lineage: Eukaryota; Metazoa; Chordata; Lepidosauria; Squamata; Colubridae
Source: RefSeq, a predicted model, not a curated record
UCCAUACUACGGAAGUUUUUUCUUUUCAAUGCAUACUAUAUUGAGAAUGUUGUUGCUAAUACGUCUAGUAUAAGGAAAUAACUGAGAUGAAGAAAUCAAUUAUUUUUCCUGAAAUGAGAAGAAGCUCCGGGGAAAUCAGGAGAUUCAGACAUUUCAAAUGAGUAUAAAAAUUUAUUGCAAGAUUACGCUAUCUACAUGAAUCUGACCAACUAACAAUCAAGGGAAAUGAACGGGAGAUAAAAGAGGCAUUCAAGAAUUCUCUUGUUACUGUGCUAUUUAUUUGGGAAUGUUGGAACCAACUGAGUGUGGAAGAACACUGUGUAAUAAAAGACAAAAAAAAUCUUGUGUCCUGUUAAUAAAAAAAGUAUUGUAAUCUAA